CACUGGCACGCCUGCAGCACAAUGAUGAUGUCACUGAGUCUACUGCUGACCGGCCUGGGGCUCCUUGUUCAGGGUUCAUCAGGAGACAUCCUGCUGACUCAGUCUCCUGGAGCUCAGUCUAUUGUUCCAGGACAGACUGUCUCCAUCAGGUGUAAAGCCAGUUCUAGUGUUAGUAACUACCUUCACUGGUACCAGCAGAAAUCAGGAGAAUCUCCCAAACUUCUGAUUUAUUCCACCUCAAAUCGUCAGUCUGGGAUCUCAGAUCGUUUCAGUGGAAGUGGAUCUGGAAGUGACUUCACUCUGACCAUCAGAGGAGUUCUGGCUGAAGAUGCAGGAGAUUAUUAUUGUCAGCAGAGUAACAGCUUCCCGUUCACACAGUGAAACAACGUCGUACAAAAACCUCC
Pungitius pungitius (ninespine stickleback) is the source of this 404-nucleotide non-coding RNA. The record is from the annotation of a RefSeq genome assembly. NCBI's taxonomy places the organism in Eukaryota, Metazoa, Chordata, Actinopteri, Perciformes, Gasterosteidae.